Molecule: small nuclear RNA, 107 nt
Filed under: Tupaia belangeri (northern tree shrew)
Lineage: Eukaryota; Metazoa; Chordata; Mammalia; Scandentia; Tupaiidae
Source: RNAcentral
GUGCUCACUUCGGCAGCAUGUAUACUAAAAUUGGAACAAUAGAGAGAAGAUUAGCAUGGCCCCUGCGCAAGGAUGACACGCAAAUUUGUGACGCGGUCCAUAUUUAA